RNAcentral lists this ribosomal RNA (372 nucleotides) under uncultured organism. RNAcentral describes it as "bacterial SSU rRNA". It matches the Rfam family "Bacterial small subunit ribosomal RNA", at positions 526 to 896 of the family's 1533-position model. The record is from RNAcentral.
CGUAGGGGGCAAGCGUUGUCCGGAUUUAUUGGGCGUAAAGAGCGUGUAGGCGGCUUUACAGGUCCGUUGUGAAAACUCGAGGCUCAACCUCGAGACGCCGGUGGAAACCGUAAGGCUAGAGUCCGGAAGAGGAGAGUGGAAUUCCUGGUGUAGCGGUGAAAUGCGCAGAUAUCAGGAGGAACACCCGUGGCGAAAGCGGCUCUCUGGGACGGUACUGACGCUGAGACGCGAAAGCGUGGGGAGCAAACAGGAUUAGAUACCCUGGUAGUCCACGCCGUAAACGAUGGGUGCUAGGUGUGGGCGGUGUCGACUCCGUCCGUGCCGAAGCUAACGCAUUAAGCACCCCGCCUGGGGAGUACGGCCGCAAGGCUA